Molecule: ribosomal RNA, 253 nt
Filed under: uncultured bacterium
Lineage: Bacteria
Description: partial 16S ribosomal RNA
Rfam family: Bacterial small subunit ribosomal RNA
Source: RNAcentral
UACGGAGGGUGCAAGCGUUAAUCGGAAUUACUGGGCGUAAAGCGCGCGUAGGCGGUUUGAUUAGUCGGAUGUGAAAGCCCCGGGCUCAACCUGGGAAUUGCAUUCGAUACUGUCUGACUAGAGUAUGGUAGAGGGAAGUGGAAUUUCCGGUGUAGCGGUGAAAUGCGUAGAUAUCGGAAGGAACACCAGUGGCGAAGGCGACUUCCUGGACCAAUACUGACGCUGAGGUGCGAAAGCGUGGGGAGCAAACAGG